Long non-coding RNA from Lemur catta (Ring-tailed lemur), 358 nucleotides. RefSeq lists it as uncharacterized. The record is from RefSeq and is a predicted model, not a curated record. The transcript has 3 exons. NCBI's taxonomy places the organism in Eukaryota, Metazoa, Chordata, Mammalia, Primates, Lemuridae.
UGGGAACUGCGUGGGCCUUCUCACUAAGAAAACCGACCUUGCUAUGAAGCUCUCUCUGUCCGCGCAUGUACGACGCAUCUCUCACAGGCACAGCGAUCCAGAAAACUCAAGUGGCCGUCUCCAUUGCGGUCAUCUGGACUUCCAGGCAAACAGGACACACAGGGGACAAUGAGCAGGAUCAUCUUCUCAAGUUCUGUGCCAGAAAAACCCCAUUGAGAUUUUGCCUGCAAUUACAUUAAAUAUAUGAUCACUUUGAUCCUGCCAGGAUCGUCAGUAUAAUCUUGAGAAGAAAUUAUAAUAGCAGGCAUCUUUUCUAAUCAUUUAAUAUCCUAUUAAGAUGGGAGAUAUAUAUUUUGAA